GAUUAUAAAUCUUGUUAGUAAACUAAGGGGAUUCUAAAAAUGUUUGUAAGUGAAAAAUAAUUUUUAAUAAUAGAUAGGUAGUUUUUAAUGAAAAAAAUUUAUAACUAUAAUUUAAAAGUACUGUAAAGGAAAGAGAAUAAGUUAAAAGAGGAAAAGAAUAAAUUAAAUUUUGUACCUUGUGUAUAAGGGAAAAUUUAUAUAAUUAAAAUAAUAUUAAGGUCUCGAAAUAAAAAUAGUUAAUUUUGUAAGAGAGUUUUUAUAGGAUAAAAAUUUUGAAUGUAAAAUUAAAGGUGAAAUGUUAAACGAGUUUUGUUAUAUCUAGUUUUUUAAAAAAAAAUUUAAUUUGGUUUAUACGUAUAUAAUAGUAUAAAAGGGUAAAAUAGAAAGGAUAAGCUUUUUAUUAAUGUAAAUGAAACAGAAAGAUAAAUUAUGAAUGUGAUCUAAGCUUAAAAGUAGCUAGGUUUAUAAAGUGUUUUAACUAAAUUUUAGAGGAAAAAAGAUUUAUUACUUUUCUUUAAUAUUAAAAAUUUAUUUAGAAUAGAAAAUAAUAAGGUAAAAUGAUUUUAUUAGUAAAGAAGUAUAAUUGUAAAUUUAUAAAAAGAUAUAAGAUAAGUCAAAAAUAAUUAAGUUUAAAGGGUGUAUAAAAGGAAUUCAGUAAAGUAUUUUCUUGCCUGUUUAUCAAAAACAUGUCUAUUUGAAGUUAUAAAAAGUCUAGCCUGCCCGCUGAUUUAAUAAAAUAGGUUCAAGGGCCGCGGUAUUAUGACCGUGCAAAGGUAGCAUAAUCAUUAGGUUUUUAAAUGAGAUCUUGUAUGAAUGGUUGGACAAAGGAGAAACUGUCUUUUAAAUAUUGCUUAAAUUUUACUUUUAAGUGAGAAGGCUUAAAUAUUUUAGAGGGACGAUAAGACCCUAUAAAGCUUUACAUUGAAAUUAAAUUUAAUUAAAUUUUAUAAUAAAAAUUUUAUUUAGUUAUUUGUUUUGUUGGGGAGACAAAAGUAAAAGUUAUAUUAACUGCUUAAUAAAUAAACAUUUAUUAGUGUGUUGGAGUUUAUAGAUCCUGUGUAGUAUAGACUAAGAGAUUAAGUUACUUUAGGGAUAACAGUGUUAUGUUUUUUGAGAGUUCAUAUCGAGAAAAAAGUUUGCAACCUCGAUGUUGAAUUAAAAAUGUCUAUAUAAUGUAGUUGUUAUAUAAGAAGGUCUGUUCGACCUUUAAUUUUU
Molecule: ribosomal RNA, 1215 nt
Filed under: Ceylonthelphusa cavatrix
Lineage: Eukaryota; Metazoa; Arthropoda; Malacostraca; Decapoda; Parathelphusidae
Description: partial 16S ribosomal RNA
Source: RNAcentral